ACUGGGCUUCGUGCAUAUGACUUUAUAUGUUCAAUGUCCCUUCUCCAUUUUACCCUCCGUCCCCAAGUCCCGGGACCUGGACGGACCUUGAGUGCCUCACAAAAAUAAAAAAGAAGCUAUAAUGUCAGAUCCUGGACAGCCUGAAGCACAGCACUGCAACUGGACCUCUUCCCUUUCUGGAUCGGAGAUUACCUGGAAGCAGACCCCGCGAGGAAGGUGCCAGUGCCAGUGAUUAGAAGGGUCAGCCCCUGGAAGAAACUGGUCCAAGAGUGGGAGAAGCAAGCCUGGGAGCUGGAGGGAGCCAAGGCUGUGAGAUUUCAGACCCCUGACCAGGCAGCCAGACCGCUUACCGCAGCUCAGGACUCCCCAGUAUAUUCUUACCAAAAGCCGUUUCUCUCUCCUCACAAACGGGAUGACAAGAUCACAUGCACCUGCUCCAGAACUUAGAGAUCCACAGUGCAACUCUCCAGAUACAACUUGCCAAAUACACAUGGUGCUCUGAUUUAUCACAGGUACCUCCUGCCCCAGGGGAUUUUUCCAGUUUACA
Molecule: long non-coding RNA, 547 nt
Organism: Mirounga angustirostris (Northern elephant seal)
Lineage: Eukaryota; Metazoa; Chordata; Mammalia; Carnivora; Phocidae
Exons: 4
Source: RefSeq, a predicted model, not a curated record